AGUGAACGCUGGCGGUAGGCCUAACACAUGCAAGUCGAACGGCAGCACAGUAAGAGCUUGCUCUUACGGGUGGCGAGUGGCGGACGGGUGAGGAAUACAUCGGAAUCUACUUUUUCGUGGGGGAUAACGGAGGGAAACUUACGCUAAUACCGCAUACGACCUACGGGUUAAAGCAGGGGAUCUUCGGACCUUGCGCGAUUGAAUGAGCCGAUGUCGGAUUAGCUAGUUGGCGGGGUAAAGGCCCACCAAGGCGACGAUCCGUAGCUGGUCUGAGAGGAUGAUCAGCCACACUGGAACUGAGACACGGUCCAGACUCCUACGGGAGGCAGCAGUGGGGAAUAUUGGACAAUGGGCGAAAGCCUGAUCCAGCCAUACCGCGUGGGUGAAGAAGGCCUUCGGGUUGUAAAGCCCUUUUGUUGGGAAAGAAAAGCAGCAGGUUAAUACCCCGCUGUUCUGACGGUACCCAAAGAAUAAGCACCGGCUAACUUCGUG
This 492-nucleotide ribosomal RNA is filed under the name uncultured bacterium. RNAcentral describes it as "partial 16S ribosomal RNA". It matches the Rfam family "Bacterial small subunit ribosomal RNA", at positions 29 to 507 of the family's 1533-position model. The record is from RNAcentral.